RNAcentral lists this transfer RNA (74 nucleotides) under Minisyncoccota bacterium. RNAcentral describes it as "tRNA-His". It matches the Rfam family "tRNA". Rfam says of the family: Transfer RNA (tRNA) molecules are approximately 80 nucleotides in length. Their secondary structure includes four short double-helical elements and three loops (D, anti-codon, and T loops). The record is from RNAcentral. Lineage: Bacteria; Bacillati; Minisyncoccota.
GAGGCAUUGGUGUAGCGGUAACACACGAGCUUGUGGAGCUCUUAUCGAGGGUUCAACUCCCUCAUGCCUCCCCA